AGGACGAACGCUGGCGGCGUGCUUAACACAUGCAAGUCGAGCGGAAAGGCCCUUCGGGGUACUCGAGCGGCGAACGGGUGAGUAACACGUGAGCAACCUGCCCCUGGCUCUGGGAUAGCCUCCGGAAACGGGGAUUAAUACCGGAUAUUCACUGUCUCCUGCAUGGGGGGUGGUGGAAAGUUUUUCGGCUAGGGUGGGGCUCGCGGCCUAUCAGCUUGUUGGGGGGUGACGGCCCACCAAGGCGACGACGGGU
RNAcentral lists this ribosomal RNA (253 nucleotides) under uncultured bacterium. RNAcentral's name for it is "partial small subunit ribosomal RNA". It matches the Rfam family "Bacterial small subunit ribosomal RNA", at positions 26 to 284 of the family's 1533-position model. The record is from RNAcentral.